This 506-nucleotide ribosomal RNA is filed under the name Rhinoscapha sp. 1 MVD-2017. Its description in RNAcentral is "partial 16S ribosomal RNA". It matches the Rfam family "Bacterial large subunit ribosomal RNA", at positions 1859 to 2622 of the family's 2925-position model. Lineage: Eukaryota; Metazoa; Arthropoda; Insecta; Coleoptera; Curculionidae. The record is from RNAcentral.
CUGCCCUAUGAGAAUUUAAAUGGCCGCGGUAUUUUGACCGUGCAAAGGUAGCAUAAUCAUUAGUUUUUUAAUUGAAAGCUGGAAUGAAAGGUCGGAUGAGAAAAUUACUGUCUCUAUCUAAAUUAUUUAGAAUUUUAUCUUUAAGUAAGAAAGCUUAAAUUAAAAUAGAAGACGAGAAGACCCUAUAGAGUUUUAUAUAUUUUAAUUUAAGAUAAUUUUAGAAUUAAAAAAUUUUUAGAUUAAUAUUUAUUUAGUUGGGGUGAUUGAAAAAUUAGGAAAACUUUUUUUAUUAUUAUAACAUUUAUUUAUGAUUAUAUGAUCCUUAAAUAAAGAUUAAAAGAAAAAAUUACCUUAGGGAUAACAGCGUAAUUUUUUUAAAGAGUUCAAAUCGAAAAAAAAGAUUGCGACCUCGAUGUUGGAUUAAAAUAAAAUUUUGGUGUAGGAGCUAAAGUAUUUGGGUCUGUUCGACCCUUAAAAUUUUACAUGAUCUGAGUUUAAACCGGCGU